AAAGUCGUAACAAGGUUUCCGUAGGUGAACCUGCGGAAGGAUCAUUGUCGAUUCCUGCAAGAGCAGAACGACCCGUGAACAUGUGAACACAAUGCCGGCCGGGCGGGCACACGCUCGCAGGGCCGCUGGGAGGACGCGGGCUCUCUGCUGCCCCCGUGCUCCCGACCGUACAACGUACCCCGGCGCGGGAUGCGCCAAGGAACUAGAACACGAGAGGCGUGGCCCUGGGCGAUCCCCCCAUGCGGGUUCGGCCCGGGGGACCUUGCCUUCUCCAGUGCAACAACAACGACUCUCGGCAACGGAUAUCUCGGCUCUCGCAUCGAUGAAGAACGUAGCGAAAUGCGAUACUUGGUGUGAAUUGCAGAAUCCCGUGAACCAUCGAGUCUUUGAACGCAAGUUGCGCCCGAAGGCCUUUGGCCGGAGGGCACGCCUGCCUGGGUGUCACGCAACAUGUCGCCCCCAGCCACCCGACGCCUCUAAGUCAUGCCACGGGCGUGCGGCGGCGGGGGGGUGCGGAAGUUGGCCUCCCGUGGCAUCCCUGCCGUGGCUGGCCCAAAAGCGAGCAAUGGAGCGACGCACUCCGCGACGCGCGGUGGUGGUAAAAGCGCCCCUCGGGCAACGGUCCGGACCGUCUCUCCCUUGGUGCUCGGCGGCCUUCCAUCCGAAAAGCAUGCGACCCCAGGUCAGGCGGGGCCACCCGCUGAGUUUAAGCAUAUCAAUAAGCGGAGGAA
RNAcentral lists this ribosomal RNA (731 nucleotides) under Sonneratia apetala. Its description in RNAcentral is "eukaryotic LSU rRNA". The stretch from base 288 to 444 matches the Rfam family "5.8S ribosomal RNA". Lineage: Eukaryota; Viridiplantae; Streptophyta; Magnoliopsida; Myrtales; Lythraceae. The record is from RNAcentral.